CACAUCAAUUAGGCUUGGCUUUUCAAAGUGAUCCACAGAAAAACAAAAAAUAAGAAACAUUAUUUUAUCUACAGAGAACAAAAAAAAAUAAGACAAUAAUUUAUUCAAUAAGCUCCCCAACAAUGUGAAAUCAACCCUUUGUAACUAGAAUAUGAGCUUCCCUCGGGCAACGAUGAGUACGGUGACCCAUCAUAUAGGAAUUUUUUGUCAGUUCUACGCCAUAUACGCUUCCUAACCAUAUUUCCCUGUAGGACUUCAACUAUCUGGCUCAUAUUUGGGCGAAACUUUGCAGGUUUAUAAACACAAGCUGCAGCACAACAAGUCAUUCGAGCCAAAUCCUUUUUCUUAUAGGCCUUCUGCAAUUUGGCAUCAACAAGAACACUAUAUUUGCCUCUAUACAAAGCUUGUUUGAGCCGAGGCCUUGCCCAAUCAGCUAAGUUAAUGCGAUCAUUGCCUUCAUCAUCAACAGCAGGUUUCCCAGUAAUCAACUCCAAAAGCACAAU
This 503-nucleotide unclassified non-coding RNA is filed under the name Hevea brasiliensis (rubber tree). The record is from RNAcentral. Lineage: Eukaryota; Viridiplantae; Streptophyta; Magnoliopsida; Malpighiales; Euphorbiaceae.